This 2005-nucleotide long non-coding RNA is filed under the name Sus scrofa (pig). Its description in RNAcentral is "lncRNA (ENSSSCG00025046988.1)". Lineage: Eukaryota; Metazoa; Chordata; Mammalia; Artiodactyla; Suidae. The record is from RNAcentral.
UAUCCUGCCUUCUCAGUGCAAUGCCCGGCACCUAGGCCGAGUUCACGUGCGGGUUGUCGCGUUUCCAAUACCCCUGACGUUGUCUUCUCAGUGGUCGUUGGGUCUAGAAGUCACUCCUCUGGAGGUGAUAGACUAGGAGAAGCCGCCAGCCAGCAGCAUCACUGGCUGGCUGGGAGUUCCACCUCUUCCUUCCUUAAGACCUCAGUAAAUGGACAGCCACAGAUGUGCCUUUCAGAUCAUGUUUUAAAACCUUCCCCGUCUGGCGUUGGGAACGCAGCCGCGGCUUGGUGGUGGAUAGCAAGAGGCAAAGGGCCCGAGCUCCAGUUGAUGAAGUCACAUGGUUCCAGGGGCAGCAGCUGUUUCCCUGAAUACGAGGAUGGUGCUUUGAGACCAACCAGAAGUGAACUGUUUGUACAGAUUGAUGCUGCUGAAAUGCAAAGUGGAAACAUGUCAGGGGAAACAUGCACCCUGUCACCCCAGGAGAGAUGGCUCGGUGGUGAAUCAGACCCACAGGACAGUGGGGAACGCCAGGUGGGAGAGAAAAGCACAUGCCUGUAUACCCUGCUGUGGAAAGAACCAGAAAAGCUGAAAGAAAACCUGUGAGGCCAGAAGCUGGGAUGUGGGAAGGCUCGAGAAGGGUGCAGGAGGAACCAAACUGGUGUCAUGUGGAGGAGGCCAUGUGGCAGAGAUCCGUGGUGGCCUCUGGUUGCUGAGGGCCUCCGUCCCACAACUGCAAGGAACUAGGUUCUGCCAACACCCAGCAAGCCUGGGAGAGGAUGCCAGACUCCAGGGAGAUCACAGACCUGGCAACACCUUGAUCGUGGCUGUUGAAUCUCUGAGCAGAGGACAGAGCUGAGCCAUGCCUCUGUCCCACAGAAACGGUGAGAUCAUAAAUGGGCAUUGCUUUAUUCUGCUCUGCUGUUUAAACAUUUAUUUUUAUUUUUAAACGUUUUAUUGACAUAUAGUUGAUUUAUUAGAUUGUGAUCAUUUCUGCUAUACAAAAAGAGUGAUUUAAUUAUACAUGUACACACGUCCCUUCCCUUUCAGUUUCUUUUUCCACGUAGAUGACUAUAGAACAUUGGGUAGGAGUCUCUGUGCCAUACAGCAGGUCCCCGUUGGCCUGUCAUUCCAUAUAUCUUAGUGGACACACGCUAAUUCCCCAUCCCCAGUCUGUCCCUGCCUCCCCCCACCCUGUCCCUGUUGGUAAACCCUAAGUUUUUCAAACUCUAUGAGUCUGCUUCCGUUCUGCAAAUAAGUUCGAGAAGAUGUGAUACCUAUACACAAUGGAAUAUUGCUCAGCCAUACAAAAGCAUGAAUUAACACCAUUUGCAGCAACAUGGAUGGACCUAGAAAUUGUCAUACCAAGUGAAAUUCGGCAGUGAAAGACAAACAUCUUAUGAUAUCACUUAUAUGUGGAAUCUAAAAAAAGGACACAAAUGAAUUUACUCGGCUCUGUUGGUGGUCAUUUGUUUUGCAGCAAUAGACCGUUUACAUGGUCAGGGGCACUUUGCUGGUCAUUACUGUGUCCCCAUACCAGGCACAGGGCCUGUUGCAAGCAGAUAUUCGAUACAGGAUGUGUGGAGAAUGAGUAAGUGGAUGAAUGGAUGACAGCCAGCCAGGAACGCGUGGGAGCACUGCCCAACCAUGGGGUGUCGUGUGUGUCCUAGCCAGCUGUGGGGUCCCAGCUGCCUGCGAGCUCGGGGAGAGAGACCCUGGGGUGGGAUUCCUAAUAGAUACGGAUGUAACCGGAAGUCGCAUUUGGGUCCUGAAUGAGGGUCUGCAGCAGGCGUGACUUUCUCUGCGUUGGGAUUUAAAAGAUGCUCUGCUUCCCAAGCAUAUCACAAGAGGACCCCCCAGACGGACUUAGGGCUCUAGAGUUCCCUGAGCCCUAAGUGGUGGUGAAGGGCACUUUUGGACUCAAGGCUGUGGGGCUUGGGGGUGGGGGCGGGCCCCAGUGGCGCUGGAGUUGUUGGGCAGGGCUUGGCCUGCUGGCGGGAGCCCUGAG